GAACGCUGGCGGCAGGCCUAACACAUGCAAGUCGAGCGGUAACAGGGGUAGCUUGCUACCCGCUGACGAGCGGCGGACGGGUGAGUAAUGCAUAGGAAUCUGCCCGAUAGUGGGGGAUAACCUGGGGAAACCCAGGCUAAUACCGCAUACGUCCUACGGGAGAAAGGGGGCUNCGGCUCCCGCUAUUGGAUGAGCCUAUGUCGGAUUAGCUAGUUGGUAAGGUAAUGGCUUACCAAGGCAACGAUCCGUAGCUGGUCUGAGAGGAUGAUCAGCCACAUCGGGACUGAGACACGGCCCGAACUCCUACGGGAGGCAGCAGUGGGGAAUAUUGGACAAUGGGGGCAACCCUGAUCCAGCCAUGCCGCGUGUGUGAAGAAGGCCCUCGGGUUGUAAAGCACUUUCAGCGAGGAAGAACGCCUAUCGGUUAAUACCCGGUAGGAAAGACAUCACUCGCAGAAGAAGCACCGGCUAACUCCGUGCCAGCAGCCGCGGUAAUACGGAGGGUGCAAGCGUUAAUCGGAAUUACUGGGCGUAAAGCGCGCGUAGGUGGCUUGAUAAGCCGGUUGUGAAAGCCCCGGGCUCAACCUGGGAACGGCAUCCGGAACUGUCAGGCUAGAGUGCAGGAGAGGAAGGUAGAAUUCCCGGUGUAGCGGUGAAAUGCGUANAGAUCGGGAGGAAUACCAGUGGCGAAGGCGGCCUUNUGGACUGACACUGACACUGAGGUGCGAANGCGUGGGUAGCAAACAGGAUUAAAUACCCUGGUAGUCCACGCCNUAAACNAUGUCANCANCCGUUGGUGCCUAAA
Molecule: ribosomal RNA, 805 nt
Filed under: Halomonas sp. J24.3
Lineage: Bacteria; Pseudomonadati; Pseudomonadota; Gammaproteobacteria; Oceanospirillales; Halomonadaceae
Description: bacterial SSU rRNA
Rfam family: Bacterial small subunit ribosomal RNA
Source: RNAcentral